This 441-nucleotide ribosomal RNA is filed under the name uncultured Neocallimastigomycetes. RNAcentral's name for it is "LSU rRNA". It matches the Rfam family "Eukaryotic large subunit ribosomal RNA", at positions 107 to 542 of the family's 3401-position model. Lineage: Eukaryota; Fungi; Neocallimastigomycota; Neocallimastigomycetes. The record is from RNAcentral.
GCUCAAAUUUGAAAUCUUCAAGGUUUUACCUUGACGAAUUGUAGUUUAAAGAAGUGUUUUCUGUUGAAGUUUUGGUAAAAGUUCUUUGGAAUAGGACAUCAUAGAGGGUGAGAAUCCCGUAUUUGACCAUUAUUUUCAGCUGUGUGAUACACUUUCAAAGAGUCGGAUUGUUUGGGAAUGCAGUCCAAAAUGGGUGGUAAAUUUCAUCUAAAGCUAAAUAUUGGCGAGAGACCGAUAGCGAACAAGUACCGUGAGGGAAAGAUGAAAAGAACUUUGAAAAGAGAGUUAAACAGUACGUGAAAUUGUCAAAAGGGAAGCGUUUGACACCAGUGUUGUUUUCUCGAAAAUCAAUUAAAAAGAGUUGGAUUUUGUGUUGUAUUGACCUUAACAGCUUUCUUCACUCUUUUCCUGCUUUUUUUAAUGCACUUUUCAUUUAACAAG